RNAcentral lists this ribosomal RNA (450 nucleotides) under uncultured bacterium. RNAcentral describes it as "bacterial SSU rRNA". It matches the Rfam family "Bacterial small subunit ribosomal RNA", at positions 340 to 783 of the family's 1533-position model. The record is from RNAcentral.
UACGGAAGGCAGCAGGGGGAAUAUUGCACAAUGGGCGCAAGCCUGAUGCAGCCAUGCCGCGUGUAUGAAGAAGGCCUUCGGGUUGUAAAGUACUUUCAGUCGUGAGGAAGGUGUUAAGGUUAAUAACCUUAGCAAUUGACGUUAGCGACAGAAGAAGCACCGGCUAACUCCGUGCCAGCAGCCGCGGUAAUACGGAGGGUGCGAGCGUUAAUCGGAAUUACUGGGCGUAAAGGGCACGCAGGCGGUUAAUUAAGUUGGAUGUGAAAUCCCCGGGCUUAACCUGGGAAUGGCAUUCAAGACUGGUUAGCUAGAGUCUUGUAGAGGGGGUAGAAUUCCAUGUGUAGCGGUGAAAUGCGUAGAGAUGUGGAGGAAUACCGGUGGCGAAGGCGGCCCCUGGACAAAGACUGACGCUCAUGUGCGAAAGCGUGGGGAGCGAAACAGGGAUUAGAU